Molecule: ribosomal RNA, 449 nt
Filed under: uncultured bacterium
Lineage: Bacteria
Description: partial 16S ribosomal RNA
Rfam family: Bacterial small subunit ribosomal RNA
Source: RNAcentral
GUCGAGAAUCUUUCACAAUGGGGGCAACCCUGAUGGAGCGACGCCGCGUGGAGGAUAAGGUCUUCGGAUUGUAAACUCCUGUCAUGCGUGAACAAGGUUGCUUGGUUAAUACCUGGGCAAAUUGAUGGUAACGCAAGAGGAAGAGACGGCUAACUCUGUGCCAGCAGCCGCGGUAAUACAGAGGUCUCAAGCGUUGUUCGGAAUCACUGGGCGUAAAGGGUGCGUAGGUGGCGUGGUAAGUCAGAUGUGAAAGCCCGGGGCUCAACCUCGGAACUGCAUACGAGACUGCCAUGCUAGAGUACUGGAGAGGUGACUAGAAUUCUCGGUGUAGCAGUGAAAUGCGUAGAUAUCGAGAGGAAUACCAAAGGCGUAGGCAGGUCACUGGACAGUUACUGACACUGAGGCACGAAAGCGUGGGGAGCAAACAGGAUUAGAAACCCCAGUAGUCC